CAGUUCGUGAUGGCGUUCCUGUAGAGCUCCCGCAAGGUGAUGGGGAACUCCACCGCCAUCCUCCGUCCUCAAGUUCCCCGUCCGCCCACCGGAUUUGGUUGUUGUUGCCCCGCGUGUGGAUCCGCUGACGGGAGAAGCCGACGCUGUGCGCUAGUCAAUUUGGACUGAAAAAAAAAGAAGCAAUGGAAGAUAGAAAACAGGGGGUCCAGUGAAAACAAAUCAGUUUUGUCCUUACCCUUUUAGUCCUUCCGCGCCGUCCAGAUAGGUGAUAUAGAAUAAAAAUAAACUACGGGGAUAAUUCUGAAAAUAACCACAUCGUCUUCAACCUCAGAAACCCCUAACCCCCCGUGAUUAGAGAGAGAAAUCGGGAUCAAAUUCAGGUCGUGAUUCUUUGCACCGGCCGAAACUUUUCUUGGGGGAGGGGCGGAUCUUUAGACAAUUAGCUUGAUUCCCCUCUCCCCUUGCUACAAUCUUGGCGAUCCCAUCACGUGUCAUCGCCCAGCCCCCUUUCCCAUCACACACAGAGCCAAAAAANNN
RNAcentral lists this long non-coding RNA (537 nucleotides) under Triticum aestivum (bread wheat). RNAcentral describes it as "long non-coding RNA (TAES_LNC019090)". Lineage: Eukaryota; Viridiplantae; Streptophyta; Magnoliopsida; Poales; Poaceae. The record is from RNAcentral.